Molecule: ribosomal RNA, 161 nt
Filed under: uncultured bacterium
Lineage: Bacteria
Description: partial 16S ribosomal RNA
Rfam family: Bacterial small subunit ribosomal RNA
Source: RNAcentral
GGAAUCUUCCACAAUGGGCGAAAGCCUGAUGGAGCAACGCCGCGUGUGCGAUGAAGGCUUUCGGGUCGUAAAGCACUGUUGUAUGGGAAGAACAGCUAGAAUAGGAAAUGAUUUUAGUUUGACGGUACCAUACCAGAAAGGGACGGCUAAAUACGUGCCAG